This 237-nucleotide RNase P RNA is filed under the name Meriones unguiculatus (Mongolian gerbil). RNAcentral's name for it is "Nuclear RNase P (ENSMUGG00000019660.1)". It matches the Rfam family "Nuclear RNase P", at positions 1 to 225 of the family's 301-position model. From Rfam's summary of the family: Ribonuclease P (RNase P) is a ubiquitous endoribonuclease, found in archaea, bacteria and eukarya as well as chloroplasts and mitochondria. Lineage: Eukaryota; Metazoa; Chordata; Mammalia; Rodentia; Muridae. The record is from RNAcentral.
GGCGGGAGAAGCUCAUCAAUGUCGCGUGCUGAGCGCUCAUCCCUUUCUUCGAAGGUCUGAGAUGGGGCCUCCCCGCAGCCCUAACAGGGCUCUUCCCGAAUGGGGAAGUGAGUUCCCAGGAAGCAGAGCUCCAUGCAUGGGCAACUGGGCAGGAGAGGCCCUGAGUGGGCAGAUGCCUCACUCAUCCAAGUUCAGGACCCACUCAGGGUCAGGUGUGGAGUCACACAAUCCUAGAUC